GACGAACGCUGGCGGCGUGCUUAACACAUGCAAGUCGAACGGAAAGGCCCUGCUUUUGUGGGGUGCUCGAGUGGCGAACGGGUGAGUAACACGUGAGUAACCUGCCCUUGACUUUGGGAUAACUUCAGGAAACUGGGGCUAAUACCGGAUAGGAGCUCCUGCUGCAUGGUGGGGGUUGGAAAGUUUCGGCGGUUGGGGAUGGACUCGCGGCUUAUCAGCUUGUUGGUGGGGUAGUGGCUUACCAAGGCUUUGACGGGUAGCCGGCCUGAGAGGGUGACCGGCCCCCAUGGGACUGGGGUUCGGGCCCGACUCCCACGGGAGGCAGCAGUGGGGAAUAUUGCACAAUGGGCGGAAGCCUGAUGCAGCAACGCCGCGUGCGGGAUGACGGCCUUCGGGUUGUAAACCGCUUUCGCCUGUGACGAAGCGUGAGUGACGGUAAUGGGUAAAGAAGCACCGGCUAACUACGUG
This 468-nucleotide ribosomal RNA is filed under the name uncultured bacterium. RNAcentral describes it as "partial 16S ribosomal RNA". It matches the Rfam family "Bacterial small subunit ribosomal RNA", at positions 28 to 507 of the family's 1533-position model. The record is from RNAcentral.